CACCCCCAUCCCUUCACCACGAUGGCUCACUACUUUUAGUUCCCCUUGUUGAUGUUUGAAGAAACUCACUUCAGUUUUUGUAACUUCUGUAAUAAUCAUCUUUGCUUCCUGUUCUGUUAAAUACGAUCUACAUCUCUCUGCUCGACGUUUUGUUGUGCGUCUGUGUGUGUGAGUGUGUGUAUGUGUGUGUGUGUAUGUGUACAUGCAUACAGGUACCUAUGGAGUCCAGAAGAAAGUGUCGAAGUACUUGGAGAUGGAGUUACAGGAGUGCUCAAAUUCCGAUGUGUGACAUCAUACCCGGUUUUAUGCAGCAUGGGGCAUGGAAUCCAAGGCCUCAGAGAUACUAGGCCAGCACUUUACCAGCCGAGCCACACAGCCGCUCCCUUCACCAGCAAUUUCAUCUCUUCGGAUUCACCAAAAUGGGAUUUCUAAAUCUAAGAAUAUGAGGCAAGGUCUCAUGUAGUCUGGGCUGUAUGUAAACGUGUCUCCAGCCCCACUUUCAAGUACUUGGGGUUCUUUAGUGGAUGACUUUUUACAUUUUAUUUUUAUUUAGUAUAUGACUGCUUAUAUGCCGUGCAGCUCAUACAUGUUUGGUGUAUACAAAGCCAGAUGAAAGUAUCAGGUCCCCUAGAACUGGAGCUGCAGGCUGUUGCGAGUUGCCAAGUGGGUGAUGGGAACACAACCUGGGUCCUCUGGAAGAGCAGCUAGCACACCUAAUUGCUGAGCCAUCUUUCCAGCUCCCCUCCCCCAAUUCUAAGUUUUAAUGACUAAUGUACAGUAAUUUCUAAGAAAAAUAUGAGUACUCUCCACAGUAUUUAAUGUGUCUACUUUCCUGUGACUUCAGCUAUGUUUUCCUAGGCUAGGGAGAGGCGCACUCAGUCCAGUGCUGGCUGCAUGUGCAUGGUGGUGACCUGAGUUAGGGGAUCCCCAGCGUAUUUUAUUUUAUUUAUUGUGGGGGAUCCCCCACAAUAAAAGACUGAGUGUAGCGGCUCACACCCAUAAUCCCCUUAUUCCAGCACUGGAGCUCACUGGCCAGUCAAUACAGUAGAACCCGUUAGAUCUAGGCUCAGUGAGAUACUGUCUAAAUAAACGAGAGCAAUAGAAGAUACUCAAUGUCAAUCUCUGGUACACACACACACACACACACACACACACACACACACACACACACCAGUACAUACACACACAUUAUUUUUUCUUCUAAUCUUUAACUUAAAAAGAUUUCUAGUCAGUGAAAUUUAACUGUUCUGUAAUCAACUUUUUCCUUUGGACUUCCAUAUCACUUACAGUUCUUAAAUUGUAUAGAUUGUGGGAACCAGCUGGGGUUAACUUAAAUUGGAGGGGACUUACAAGAGAGCACAAGAUCUUUGAAAUGUGGGCAAACAGACUUGGAAAUUACUAAGAGCUAAGAGUUGGUUGAUCUAAGCUAACAGGAAAUUGGGGCGUCUCGGGUGAGCAGUGAACCCAGAGUUAUCAAGUAAACCCCAUUAGCCCACCUUUGUUUUCCUUCUGCUUCUAGUGGUUGUCUCUGCAGGAUCUUUUGACUGAACCCCUCUGCCUCUGUCUCUGGAGAAGCGUGGGGCAGAAGGGGUGUAUAUGUAAACGGGGUGGUCAGAAACAGUUUGGCAGGAAGUAUAUGGGAAGUUCUCUGUGCAGCUGAGGGAGGCUGACCAACUUUGCCAGCAGCAAACAGGAAGUAAAGGAGAUCCUAAGCGAGCAAAAUGUUUGGGUAGACAGAGUAUGAAAAACAAGCAUAAAUAACAUCUCUAGCGAGCGCUGGGAGCUUCUAAACAUUUCCAACAGUUACUGCCUUUGCAGGCACAGGACAAGCUUAGCUAUAUGAAACAGAAUGUUAGCUGUUUCCUCUUGUCUUUGAAAAGUAUUUACGUUUACUUUACUCUCUCUCUCUCUCUCUCUCUCUCUCUCUCUCUCCCUGUGUGUGUGUGUGUGUGUGUGUGUGUGUGUGUGUGUGUGUGUGUGUGUGU
Molecule: non-coding RNA, 1985 nt
Organism: Rattus norvegicus (Norway rat)
Lineage: Eukaryota; Metazoa; Chordata; Mammalia; Rodentia; Muridae
Source: RefSeq, a predicted model, not a curated record